This is a long non-coding RNA of Vanessa atalanta (red admiral), 236 nucleotides long. RefSeq lists it as uncharacterized. NCBI's taxonomy places the organism in Eukaryota, Metazoa, Arthropoda, Insecta, Lepidoptera, Nymphalidae. The transcript has 3 exons. The record is from RefSeq and is a predicted model, not a curated record.
UAUAGUUUAAAAAAAAGAAAAAAUAUGUGCAGUGAACUCAAACACCUUUCGGAUUUAAAUAUCAUACCAACGGUGUCCAGAUCAAACCGUAACAACAGGCGAAAAUUGCUGCAUUUUGAACUUUACAACUUAAAAUUGAAAUUCGCUCUUGUUCUAAACUCGAAUCGUCAAAAAGAUUUUUUGGAGAGAAAAUAUUCUGGAAAAAAAAUAACCAGACAUGGAAAAAAAAGGUUUGA